AGUCUAUACAGGAAAUACCAAUUCUAGGGCAAGAAAGUCUGAUCACACACUGACUGAGAAAACCCCACUGACCCAAAAUUCAUAAUGAGAGCUUUUAUGUAGAAAGUUGUUGGGCACAGCGAUCGUACUGAAAGAACUGUUCGUUCAAAGUCUCAAAAGCUUUUCUUGGAAAAAUAUCAGAUGCUCCACUGGGAACUUAGUCGAAGGAUACUCCUAAAGCGACACAGUGGACUGGCAGCGGCUGUGAAAGUACUGACUGGAGGGAAAACAGAAGGGAGCAUUUCUUCAUUGGAGAUCGGCCACAGGCAUGCAGGUUUUGGCUGGUUCCCCACUCUCUGCUAGGCUCUACACUGGUGUGAAGUUUCUUCUGUGUUGAGGAUGGCCCCGACGUGCCUGCGGUGCCUGCUGCGCUACCGCUCCGCCGCGGUCCUGCUGCUCACCCCGCUGCUGCUGCUGCCGCUGCCCGUGGCCGUGCCCACCCCGGUGAGUGCUGGAGCCCCCCGCCCUCCUCUGCCCGG
Molecule: long non-coding RNA, 518 nt
Filed under: Dromaius novaehollandiae (emu)
Lineage: Eukaryota; Metazoa; Chordata; Aves; Casuariiformes; Dromaiidae
Description: lncRNA (ENSDNVG00000014254.1)
Source: RNAcentral